Molecule: ribosomal RNA, 216 nt
Filed under: Glomeromycotina sp.
Lineage: Eukaryota; Fungi; Glomeromycota
Description: partial small subunit ribosomal RNA
Rfam family: Eukaryotic small subunit ribosomal RNA (bases 44-216)
Source: RNAcentral
GGGUCAGUAGGUUGGUCGUGCCACCGGUACGUACUGGUCCCACUGAUUCCUCCUUCCUGAAGAACCGUAAUGCCAUUAAUUUGGUGUUGCGGGGAAACAGGACUGUUACUUUGAAAAAAUUAGAGUGUUUAAAGCAAGCUAACGCUUGAAUACAUUAGCAUGGAAUAAUGAACUAGGACGAUCGAUCCUAUUUUGUUGGUUUCUAGGAUUGACGUA